Magnolia sinica is the source of this 1440-nucleotide RNA transcript. It is a transcript of the gene named protein CURVATURE THYLAKOID 1D, chloroplastic-like, with no coding region annotated. The transcript has 7 exons. NCBI's taxonomy places the organism in Eukaryota, Viridiplantae, Streptophyta, Magnoliopsida, Magnoliales, Magnoliaceae. The record is from RefSeq and is a predicted model, not a curated record.
GUCUGCGGGCUCCUAUGGUCCCAAGAAGGUGACGCUCUUAAGAAGAGUGUAAGCAAACCUCCAUUUUCGGCGGCAGCGGCAACUUCUCGAAAUGGAGCUCUGUGCCCCUCGCUUCCUCUCCAAUCUGCCCCACAAUGGAUCCUUCAAUCCGAGCCCUCCAUCUCUACACUCACGACCAUCUCUAACUCCAAAGAGAAUCCCAAUCUCACUCUCAAAAUCAGGAUUGAUAUACAUAGCUGCCUCCAUGCCAAGAGCUACAACGUCUGAUGAGACAUCUACAAGUACGUCGAAGCAGUUUGAGCAAGUACCUGAUGAAGCAACAACUGCCCAAGAAGUGCAGUUUGAAGCAGCAGAUGCAUCGAAAACUACUGAAGAAACUCCUAUGGAUGUACGGACACAGGUCAUUGAAUUUUUGAAUCAGCUCAAUACAAAGGUAACUCCAAUGGAUGUACAGAUACAGGUCAUUGAAUUUUUGAAUCAGCUCAAUAUGAAGCUGAGCUCGGGAGAUGCAUAUACCCUUCUUGGAUAUGGAAGUGGUGCUUCAGUGGCUCUGUGGAUCUCAUCAGCCCUUGUUGGUGCAAUUGACUCCAUCCCCUUGCUUCCGAAGGUGUUAGAAAUUAUUGGUCUUGGCUUCACGAUCUGGUUUAGCUAUCGCUAUGUAAUCUUUAAGAAAGAUAGGGAUGAGUUGUCAGCCAAAAUUGAAGAGUUUAAGCAGCAAAUUAUUGGGUCAACUGAUGACUGAUAUACGAAGGACUCUCAGAAAAGUAAGUAAUUGAGAAUGUCAAAUGUUUCACCAAAGACCAUAAGUAUCCUGAAGGUAUCUCUUGGUUGAUCCAUUUAUUGCUUUUGAGUCCCCUUGAAGCAAUAAUGUAGAAUGAAAGAAUAUUUGAAAGAAGAUCGUAACACAACCUAAUGCUUCACAUCUCCUGCUCGUUAGAUGAGCUCAUCGAGACAGCAUAGUAUGUGUGAGUGAUCGAGGGUUCAAUCCCUACUGUUAACAUGAAAAAAAGAAAGAAAAAUAAAAAGAAAAGAGAACCUAAUGCUUCAUCCUCUUCUUUGAUUGCCUUGUUGAAGCAAUUGAUCCAGCAGCGGGUAAUGUGUUGAAGAGUGAAGUGAUUGAUAAUAUGUGCUGUGCAGAGAGGCCCAUAGCCCAAAAUAACAAGCAAGGACCAAAAGAACCUGAUCAGAAAAGAUGGGCGAAGCCACUCGAGGAGGGGACAAGUCAAAUAUGUGGAUGUUCAAUUAAAAUGCCAUUCCAGAUACGUCAGCUGAUCUAGGCUUCAUUUACUAGAAACCAGUGUUCGUGUUGUUGGCAAUAUUAUUGAUAGUAUCGCGAUAAUAUCUUUUUCGGCAGCCUACUGACAUUGGCUCCCCCUUUAUUCGUAUCCCUCCCUGGUUUCGACGAGUUGUUGGCGAAAAUGGCGACAUUUUCGCACAUAA